Molecule: ribosomal RNA, 529 nt
Filed under: uncultured bacterium
Lineage: Bacteria
Description: bacterial SSU rRNA
Rfam family: Bacterial small subunit ribosomal RNA
Source: RNAcentral
AAUAGAUACCCGGGUAGUCCACGCCGUAAACGAUGAGUGCUAAGUGUUAGAGGGUUUCCGCCCUUUAGUGCUGCAGCUAACGCAUUAAGCACUCCGCCUGGGGAGUACGGUCGCAAGACUGAAACUCAAAGGAAUUGACGGGGGCCCGCACAAGCGGUGGAGCAUGUGGUCUAAUUCGAAGCAACGCGAAGAACCUUACCAGGUCUUGACAUCCUCUGACAACUCUAGAGAUAGAGCGUUCCCCUUCGGGGGACAGAGUGACAGGUGGUGCAUGGUUGUCGUCAGCUCGUGUCGUGAGAUGUUGGGUUAAGUCCCGCAACCGAGCGCAACCCUUGAUCUUAGUUGCCAGCAUUUAGUUGGGCACUCUAAGGUGACUGCCGGUGACAAACCGGAGGAAGUGGGGAUGACGUCAAAUCAUCAUGCCCCUUAUGACCCGGGCUACACACGUGCUACAAUGGAUGGUACAAAGAGCUGCGAACCCGCGAGGGUAAGCGAAUCUCAUAAAGCCAUUCUCAGUUCGGAUUGUAGG